ACUCCUACGGGAGGCAGCAGUGGGGAAUAUUGCACAAUGGGCGCAAGCCUGAUGCAGCCAUGCCGCCGGUGUUGAAGAAGGCCUUCGGUUGGUAAAAUGCACUUUCAGUCGUGAGGAGUAGUGUAGUUAAUAGCUGCAUUAUUUGACGUUAGCGACAGAAGAAGCACCGGCUAACUCCAGUGCCCAGGCUACCGCGGAAUACGGAGGGUGCGAGGCCGUUAAUCGGAAUUACUGGGCGUAAAGCGCAUGCAGGUGGUUUGUUAAGUCAGAUGUGAAAGCCCGGGGCUCAACCUCGGAAUUGCAUUUGAAAGCUGGCAGACUA
Molecule: ribosomal RNA, 322 nt
Filed under: uncultured bacterium
Lineage: Bacteria
Description: bacterial SSU rRNA
Rfam family: Bacterial small subunit ribosomal RNA
Source: RNAcentral